This 385-nucleotide ribosomal RNA is filed under the name uncultured bacterium. RNAcentral describes it as "bacterial SSU rRNA". It matches the Rfam family "Bacterial small subunit ribosomal RNA", at positions 91 to 507 of the family's 1533-position model. The record is from RNAcentral.
UUAGGUGGCGCACGGGUGCGUAACGCGGUGGGAAUCUCGCCCUUGGGGUUCGGAAUAACAGUUAAGAAAUGACUGCUAAUACCGAAUGAUGUCUUCGGACCAAAGAUUUAUCCGCCCAAGGAUGAGCCCGCGUCGGAUUAGCUAGUUGGUGAGGUAAAGGCUCACCAAGGCGACGAUCCGUAGCUGGUCUGAGAGGAUGAUCAGCCACACUGGGACUGAGACACGGCCCAGACUCCUACGGGAGGCAGCAGUGGGAAUAUUGGACAAUGGGCGAAAGCCUGAUCCAGCAAUGCCGCGUGAGUGAUGAAGGCCUUAGGGUUGUAAAGCUCUUUUACCCGGGAUGAUAAUGACAGUACCGGGAGAAUAAGCCCCGGCUAACUCCGUG